This 456-nucleotide ribosomal RNA is filed under the name uncultured bacterium. Its description in RNAcentral is "bacterial SSU rRNA". It matches the Rfam family "Bacterial small subunit ribosomal RNA", at positions 27 to 507 of the family's 1533-position model. The record is from RNAcentral.
GAACGAACGCUGGCGGCAGGCUUAACACAUGCAAGUCGAACGCCCCGCAAGGGGAGUGGCAGACGGGUGAGUAACGCGUGGAACGUACCUUUCAGUACGGAAUAACUCAGAGAAAUUUGUGCUAAUACCGUAUGAUGUCGCAAGACCAAAGAUUUAUCGCCUAAGGAUGAGCCCGCGUAAGAUUAGCUUGUUGGUGAGGUAAAAGCUCACCAAGGCGACGAUCAGUAGCUGGUCUGAGAGGACGAUCAGCCACACUGGGACUGAGACACGGCCCAGACUCCUACGGGAGGCAGCAGUGGGGAAUUUUGGACAAUGGGCGCAAGCCUGAUCCAGCCAUUCCGCGUGAGUGAAGAAGGCCUUCGGGUUGUAAAGCUCUUUCGCAAGGGAAGAAAACUUAUCCUCUAACAUAGGAUGAGGUUGACGGUACCUUGAUAAGAAGCACCGGCUAACUACGUG